GACGAACGCUGGCGGCGUGCUUAACACAUGCAAGUCGAACGGAAAGGCCCUGCUUUUGUGGGGUGCUCGAGUGGCGAACGGGUGAGUAACACGUGAGUAACCUGCCCUUUACUUUGGGAUAACUUCAGGAAACUGGGGCUAAUACCGGAUAUGAUCUCCUGCUGCAUGGUGGGGGUUGGAAAGUUUCGGCGGUUGGGGAUGUACUCGCGGCUUAUCCGCUUGUUUGUGGGGUAGUGGCUUACCAAGGCUUUGACGGGUAGCCGGCAUGAGAGGGUGACCGGCAAAAAUGGGACUGAGAUAGGGAGCAGAAUCGAACGGGAGGAAGCAGGGGGGAAUAUUGCACAAUGGGAGGAAGCAUGAUGCAGAAAAGCAGCGUGCGGGAUGACGGCCUUCGGGUUGUAAACAGAUUUCGACUGUGACGAAGAGUGAGUGACGGUAAUGGGUAAAGAAGCAACGGCUAACUACGUG
Molecule: ribosomal RNA, 468 nt
Filed under: uncultured bacterium
Lineage: Bacteria
Description: partial 16S ribosomal RNA
Rfam family: Bacterial small subunit ribosomal RNA
Source: RNAcentral